Molecule: ribosomal RNA, 253 nt
Filed under: uncultured bacterium
Lineage: Bacteria
Description: partial 16S ribosomal RNA
Rfam family: Bacterial small subunit ribosomal RNA
Source: RNAcentral
UACGUAGGGUGCAAGCGUUAUCCGGAAUUAUUGGGCGUAAAGAGCUCGUAGGCGGUCUGUCGCGUCUGCUGUGAAAACUGGGGGCUCAACCCCCAGCCUGCAGUGGGUACGGGCAGACUAGAGUGCGGUAGGGGAGAUUGGAACUCCUGGUGUAGCGGUGGAAUGCGCAGAUAUCAGGAAGAACACCGAUGGCGAAGGCAGAUCUCUGGGCCGUAACUGACGCUGAGGAGCGAAAGCAUGGGGAGCGAACAGU